This 253-nucleotide ribosomal RNA is filed under the name uncultured bacterium. RNAcentral's name for it is "partial 16S ribosomal RNA". It matches the Rfam family "Bacterial small subunit ribosomal RNA", at positions 524 to 776 of the family's 1533-position model. The record is from RNAcentral.
UACAGAGGGGGCAAGCGUUAUUCGGAAUUAUUGGGCGUAAAGGGCGCAUAGGCGGCUUUGCAAGUGACGGGUGAAAUCCCUCGGCUUAACCGAGGAACUGCCUGUCAAACUGCAUGGCUUGAGACCGGGAGAGGUGAGUGGAAUUCCCAGUGUAGCGGUGAAAUGCGUAGAUAUUGGGAGGAACACCAGUGGCGAAGGCGGCUCACUGGACCGGUACUGACGCUGAUGCGCGAAAGCGUGGGGAGCAAACAGG